UAAUACGGAGAGUGCAAGCGUUGUUCGGAAUUAUUGGGCUUAAAGAGCGUGUAGGCGGGGUAUCAGGUGCCAUGUGAAAGCCCCGGGCUCAACCCGGGAAUGGCAUGGCAAACCGAUAUUCUUGAGGCAGGCAGAGGUGACUGGAACGACUGGUGGAGCGGUGAAAUGCGUAUAUAUCAGUUGGAACGCCUGAGGCGAAAGCGGGUCACUGGGCCUGUCCUGACGCUGAGACGCGAAAGCGUGGGUAGCGAAGAGGAUUAUAUACCCUCGUAGUCCACGCCGUAAACGAUGCGUACUAGGUAUGGGAGGUUCUGACGCCGACCGUGCCGAAGCAAAAGUGAUAAGUACGCCGCCUGGGGAGUACGGCCGCAAGGCUA
Molecule: ribosomal RNA, 377 nt
Filed under: uncultured Planctomycetota bacterium
Lineage: Bacteria; Pseudomonadati; Planctomycetota
Description: bacterial SSU rRNA
Rfam family: Bacterial small subunit ribosomal RNA
Source: RNAcentral